GCUUAGAAGUGAGAAUGCCGGUAUGAGUAGCGAAAGACGGGUGAGAAUCCCGUCCACCGAAUGCCUAAGGUUUCCUGAGGAAGGCUCGUCCGCUCAGGGUUAGUCAGGACCUAAGCCGAGGCCGACAGGCGUAGGCGAUGGACAACAGGUUGAUAUUCCUGUACCACCUCUUUAUCGUUUGAGCAAUGGAGGGACGCAGAAGGAUAGAAGAAGCGUGCGAUUGGUUGUGCACGUCCAAGCAGUUAGGCUGAUAAGUAGGCAAAUCCGCUUAUCG
RNAcentral lists this ribosomal RNA (274 nucleotides) under Xenorhabdus szentirmaii. Its description in RNAcentral is "partial 23S ribosomal RNA". It matches the Rfam family "Bacterial large subunit ribosomal RNA", at positions 1280 to 1551 of the family's 2925-position model. The record is from RNAcentral. Lineage: Bacteria; Pseudomonadati; Pseudomonadota; Gammaproteobacteria; Enterobacterales; Morganellaceae.